GAUGAAGAACGUAGCGAAAUGCGAUAAGUAAUGUGAAUUGCAGAAUUCAGUGAAUCAUCGAAUCUUUGAACGCACAUUGCGCCCUUCGGCAUUCCGAAGGGCACACCUGUCCGAGCGCCGUCGCACAACUGAGGCGCAGCCUUGCGUUGGCGGGCGACUUGUGAGUAGCGAGUCGCCGCCCAAACGAGACGGCGCCGCGCCGCGGCCGACGAAGCACGAAAGCGGAAGUCGACGCGGAGGCGGUUGCCUGUAGGAAGACACAGCUUGGCCUCGGAUCAGGUGGGGAUACCCGCUGAACUUAAGCAUAUCAAUAAGCGGAGGA
RNAcentral lists this unclassified non-coding RNA (322 nucleotides) under soil metagenome. RNAcentral's name for it is "partial contains 5.8S ribosomal RNA, internal transcribed spacer 2, and large subunit ribosomal RNA". The stretch from base 1 to 120 matches the Rfam family "5.8S ribosomal RNA", at positions 35 to 154 of the family's 154-position model. The record is from RNAcentral.